RNAcentral lists this non-coding RNA (147 nucleotides) under bovine gut metagenome. RNAcentral's name for it is "THF riboswitch". The stretch from base 46 to 147 matches the Rfam family "THF (Tetrahydrofolate) riboswitch aptamer". Rfam says of the family: THF riboswitch presents a pseudoknot that joins P1-P2 and the loop of P3 and two THF binding. The record is from RNAcentral.
CAGAGUAGAGAAAUAUGCGUUGUUCUGAUACUGCUUAUCUGUCAUUUGGCAAACGAGCGGUAUAACUACAGUGCCGUGUGAACGGGGAGUUGUCACACGGACGAAUGACUCAAAUUAGUCGGCGGUAUGUUUCUCGCAUCCCGCUGU